GACAGGUGGUGCAUGGUUGUCGUCAGCUCGUGUCGUGAGAUGUUGGGUUAAGUCCCGCAACGAGCGCAACCCUUGUCUUUAGUUGCCAUCAUUAAGUUGGGCACUCUAGAGAGACUGCCAGGGAUAACCUGGAGGAAGGUGGGGAUGACGUCAAAUCAUCAUGCCCCUUAUGCUUAGGGCUACACACGUGCUACAAUGGGUAGUACAGAGGGUUGCCAAGCCGUAAGGUGGAGCUAAUCCCUUAAAGCUACUCUCAGUUCGGAUUGUAGGCUGAAACUCGCCUACAUGAAGCUGGAGUUACUAGUAAUCGCAGAUCAGAAUGCUGCGGUGAAUGCGUUCCCGGGUCUUGUACACACCGCCCGUCACACCACGGGAGUUGGAGACGCCCGAAGCCGAUUAUCUAACCUUUUGGAAGAAGUCGUCGAAGGUGGAAUCAAUAACUGGGGUGAAGUCGUAACAAGGUAGCCGUAUCGGAAGGUGCGGCUGGAUCACCUCCUUUCUAAGGA
Molecule: ribosomal RNA, 506 nt
Filed under: Clostridioides difficile
Lineage: Bacteria; Bacillati; Bacillota; Clostridia; Peptostreptococcales; Peptostreptococcaceae
Description: bacterial SSU rRNA
Rfam family: Bacterial small subunit ribosomal RNA
Source: RNAcentral